This is a long non-coding RNA of Perca flavescens (yellow perch), 337 nucleotides long. RefSeq lists it as uncharacterized. Lineage: Eukaryota; Metazoa; Chordata; Actinopteri; Perciformes; Percidae. The record is from RefSeq and is a predicted model, not a curated record. The transcript has 3 exons.
AACACACAUAUCUGUGUUUUGCUCAGAAAUUCUAAUGCACAGUUGACACAACUGAGUCAUGCUUGUCUUCUCAAAUGUAAGUUGAAGUUCACCCAGGGUUCACCACGCUAAGUCAUUUUGCACAUGCGCAGAGCGGCAGACCACGUUAGUCAACGUCUCCUCUAUUGAAGGACCGAGCGCGAGAAGCGAGCUGACCGUUGGCAAUCAACUGAUCGAAGAUUAAUUCAGUGUCAUGACUGAUGCAGUGGAACUAACUAAAAGAGAGAGAGAGAGCAGUUGUUCUCCUUGGCCUGGCCCAUUUCCAGAAAGAGAAUCCCUCCCAAUUCUUCAAGAUUUG